This is a long non-coding RNA of Tachysurus vachellii, 327 nucleotides long. RefSeq lists it as uncharacterized. The transcript is spliced from 2 exons. The record is from RefSeq and is a predicted model, not a curated record. Lineage: Eukaryota; Metazoa; Chordata; Actinopteri; Siluriformes; Bagridae.
UUUCAAAGGUUUCAUAAACUCUAGUUAAGGGCAACCUGUUACCAUUCAUAACCUUUUCUCUCUUCUCUCUGUCUUUCAGUCUGCUGUAAGUGUGAGAGUCCGAUAAGAAGCUGUUCCCAGAAAGCACACGCACCCUGUGGGGCUGGUGAAGGAUGCAGAGCACUGAUACUGUUCAGAGGAAAGAGGUUAUGGUGUCUGUGGUGAACCUCAGAAAUAUAGCAAAACACCACCUACAUAAACACUCGUACAGGACGUGCAUAAGUCUUCACUCCCAUUUGAACUGUUACAUAUUUUGUGUGUUACAACCUGAAAAUAAAAUGGACUUUU